ACUCAAAUGAAUAGACGGGAGCCCACACAAGCGGAGGAGCAUCUGGUUUAAUUCGAUAACAAACGAGGAACCUUACCAGGGCUUGACAUCUAGAGAAUCUUUCCGAAAGGAGAGAGUGCCGCAAGGAACUCUAAGACAGGUGCUGCAUGGUUGUCGUCAGCUCGUGCCUUGAGGUGUUCGGUUAAGUCCGUCAACGAGCGCAACCCUCGUCUUGUGUUGUAUGUUCACAAGAGACUGCCCCGGCCAACGGGGAGGAAGGUGGGGAUGACGUCAAAUCAGCAUGGCCCUUAUGCCCUGGGCCACACAGGUGCUACAAUGGUCGGUACAAUGGGGAGCAAAGGAGUAAUCCGAAGCAAAUCCUAAAAAACCGAUCCAAGUUCGGAUUGAGGGCUGCAACUCGCCCUCAUGAAGCUGGAUUCGCUAGUAAACGCGUAUCAGCCAUGGCGCGUUGAAUAUGUUCCUGGGCUUUGUACACACCGCCCGU
RNAcentral lists this ribosomal RNA (484 nucleotides) under uncultured bacterium. RNAcentral describes it as "partial 16S ribosomal RNA". It matches the Rfam family "Bacterial small subunit ribosomal RNA", at positions 899 to 1397 of the family's 1533-position model. The record is from RNAcentral.